UCUGCUUCUUUGUCUUCUGAUGAAACAGUCUCAUGAGAAUUCUUCACUUUUCUUUCAGUGCUCUGAGUUGUAUUAACCCGCUGAGCUGUCCUUUGAAUGCUUUCUUUCACUUCGAAUACAGCUGGCUGAGCUCCUCCCAUUUUCCUUGCACUAUCAACUGAUUCUUUCACUGUUUUAGCUGACAUGAAACUGGCAUUGCUGAUUUCCGGAUUUAGGGAAACUUGGGUUUGCUCAAUAUUCUUUCCUUUCUCACUCUUUUCAUAAGGAAAUUUCUUCCCUUGAUUUCCAAUACCCAGGUCCACUCGAAAGGUACUCCUAAUGUUCUUCUGUUCAGUGUCAGUUGAAUCUUCCAUUAGGAAUUGGCUCUUUUCAUCUUCUAAGUUGCCUAGGGCUAUGCCAGAUGCUACUUCCUUUUCACCAUUUCUCAGUUCAUUCAUUA
Molecule: unclassified non-coding RNA, 439 nt
Filed under: Hevea brasiliensis (rubber tree)
Lineage: Eukaryota; Viridiplantae; Streptophyta; Magnoliopsida; Malpighiales; Euphorbiaceae
Source: RNAcentral